This 236-nucleotide ribosomal RNA is filed under the name uncultured bacterium. RNAcentral describes it as "partial 16S ribosomal RNA". It matches the Rfam family "Bacterial small subunit ribosomal RNA", at positions 15 to 238 of the family's 1533-position model. The record is from RNAcentral.
GAUCCUGGCUCAGGACGAACGCUGGCGGCGUGCCUAAUACAUGCAAGUAGAACGGGGCUGAAGAGAGGAGCUUGCUCUUCUUGGAUGAGUUGCGAACGGGUGAGUAACGCGUAGGUAACCUGCCUUGUAGCGGGGGAUAACUAUUGGAAACGAUAGCUAAUACCGCAUAACAAUGGAUGACACAUGUCAUUUAUUUGAAAGGGGCAAUUGCUCCACUACAAGAUGGACCUGCGUUG